Molecule: ribosomal RNA, 1096 nt
Filed under: Capsosira brebissonii S23
Lineage: Bacteria; Bacillati; Cyanobacteriota; Cyanophyceae; Nostocales; Capsosiraceae
Description: bacterial SSU rRNA
Rfam family: Bacterial small subunit ribosomal RNA
Source: RNAcentral
CGAAAGCCUGACGGAGCAAUACCGCGUGAGGGAGGAAGGCUCUUGGGUUGUAAACCUCUUUUCUCAAGGAAUAAGAAAGUGAAGGUACUUGAGGAAUAAGCAUCGGCUAACUCCGUGCCAGCAGCCGCGGUAAUACGGAGGAUGCAAGCGUUAUCCGGAAUGAUUGGGCGUAAAGCGUCCGCAGGUGGCAUUGAAAGUCUGCUGUUAAAGAGUCUGGCUCAACCAGAUAAAGGCAGUGGAAACUACAAAGCUAGAGUGCGUUCGGGGUAGAGGGAAUUCCUGGUGUAGCGGUGAAAUGCGUAGAGAUCAGGAAGAACACCGGUGGCGAAGGCGCUCUACUAGGCCGCAACUGACACUGAGGGACGAAAGCUAGGGGAGCGAAUGGGAUUAGAUACCCCAGUAGUCCUAGCCGUAAACGAUGGAUACUAGGCGUUGCUUGUAUCGACCCGAGCAGUGCCGUAGCUAACGCGUUAAGUAUCCCGCCUGGGGAGUACGCACGCAAGUGUGAAACUCAAAGGAAUUGACGGGGGCCCGCACAAGCGGUGGAGUAUGUGGUUUAAUUCGAUGCAACGCGAAGAACCUUACCAGGGCUUAGCAUGUCGCGAAUCCCGGUGAAAGCUGGGAGUGCCUUAGGGAGCGCGAACACAGGUGGUGCAUGGCUGUCGUCAGCUCGUGUCGUGAGAUGUUGGGUUAAGUCCCGCAACGAGCGCAGCCCUCGUUGUUAGUUGCCAGCACUUAGGGUGGGCACUCUAACAAGACUGCCGGUGACAAACCGGAGGAAGGUGGGGAUGACGUCAAGUCAGCAUGCCCCUUACGUCCUGGGCUACACACGUACUACAAUGCGACGGACAGAGGGCAGCGAGCAUGCGAAUGCAAGCAAAUCCCGAAAACCGGCGCUCAGUUCAGAUCGAAGGCUGCAACUCGCCUUCGUGAAGGUGGAAUCGCUAGUAAUUGCAGGUCAGCAUACUGCAGUGAAUUCGUUCCCGGGCCUUGUACACACCGCCCGUCACACCAUGGAAGCUGGUAGUGCCCGAAGUCGUUACCCCAACCUUUCGGGGAGGGGGAUGCCUAAGGCAGGACUGGUGACUGGGGUGAA